This 253-nucleotide ribosomal RNA is filed under the name uncultured bacterium. RNAcentral describes it as "partial 16S ribosomal RNA". It matches the Rfam family "Bacterial small subunit ribosomal RNA", at positions 524 to 776 of the family's 1533-position model. The record is from RNAcentral.
UACGUAGGGGGCAAGCGUUGUCCGGAUUUAUUGGGCGUAAAGAGCGUGUAGGCGGCCAUGUAGGUCCGUUGUGAAAACUCGAGGCUCAACCUCGAGACGCCGAUGGAAACCAUGUGGCUAGAGUCCGGAAGAGGAGAGUGGAAUUCCUGGUGUAGCGGUGAAAUGCGCAGAUAUCAGGAAGAACACCCGUAGCUAAGGCGGCUCUCUAGUACGGUACUGACGCUGAGACGCGAAAGCGUGGGGAGCAAACAGG